This is a non-coding RNA of Ailuropoda melanoleuca (giant panda), 115 nucleotides long. The record is from Rfam. NCBI's taxonomy places the organism in Eukaryota, Metazoa, Chordata, Mammalia, Carnivora, Ursidae.
GUCUAUGGCCAUACCACCCUGAACGUGCCCGAUCUCAUCUGAUCUCGGAAGCUAAGCAGGGUCGGGCCUGGUUAGUACUUGGGUGGGAGACCAAGUAAUGCAGGUGAUCUUUUUG